Molecule: transfer RNA, 78 nt
Filed under: Planctomycetota bacterium
Lineage: Bacteria; Pseudomonadati; Planctomycetota
Description: tRNA-Glu
Rfam family: tRNA
About the family: Transfer RNA (tRNA) molecules are approximately 80 nucleotides in length. Their secondary structure includes four short double-helical elements and three loops (D, anti-codon, and T loops).
Source: RNAcentral
GUCCCGGUCGUCCAGUCCGGUCUAGGACCCCAGAUUUUCAUUCUGGUAACACGGGUUCGAAUCCCGUCCGGGAUACCA